AUGCUUAGGGCUGUUUUGAAGAAUAAUAAGAAAAUGUGGGAGGAAUGCUUGCCUCAUAUUGAAUUUGCUUAUAAUCGUUCAUUGCAUUCUACUACUAAGAUGUGCCCUUUUGAAGUUGUGUAUGGUUUCCUACCUCGUGCACCUAUUGAUUUGUUGCCUCUUCCAUCUUCGGAGAAGGUUAAUUUUGAUGCUAAACAACGUGCUGAAUUGAUUUUAAAAAUGCAUGAGUUAACUAAGGAAAACAUUGAGCGUAUGAAUGCUAAAUAUAAACUUGCUGGAGAUAAGGGUAGAAAACAUGUUGUGUUUGCACCUGGAGAUCUUGUUUGGUUACAUUUGCGUAAGGAUAGAUUUCCUGAUUUGCGCAAAUCAAAGCUAAUGCCACGUGCUGAUGGUCCCUUUAAGGUGUUAGAGAAAAUAAAUGAUAAUGCAUAUAAACUUGAGCUGCCUGCAGAUUUUGGGGUUAGUCCCACUUUUAACAUUGCAGAUUUGAAGCCUUAUUUGGGUUCGGAAGAUGAACUUCCGUCGAGGACGACUUCAUUUCAAGAAGGGGAGGAUGAUGAGGACAUCAAUACAAUUGUUACACCCACAGCCCCUGCUGCUAUACAUACUGGACCAAUUACUAGAGCUCGAAACAGACCCUCGUGGUCAGGUUGA
Molecule: ribosomal RNA, 654 nt
Filed under: Triticum aestivum (bread wheat)
Lineage: Eukaryota; Viridiplantae; Streptophyta; Magnoliopsida; Poales; Poaceae
Description: partial small subunit ribosomal RNA
Source: RNAcentral